Molecule: ribosomal RNA, 260 nt
Filed under: uncultured bacterium
Lineage: Bacteria
Description: partial small subunit ribosomal RNA
Rfam family: Bacterial small subunit ribosomal RNA
Source: RNAcentral
AGGACGAACGCUGGCGGCGUGCUUAACACAUGCAAGUCGAACGGAAAGGUCCCGCUUGCGGGUACUCGAGUGGCGAACGGGUGAGUAACACGUGGGCAACCUGCCCUCAGCCUUCGGGAUAACACUUGGAAACAGGUGCUAAUACCGGAUAACAACUUUUCAUCGCAUGGUGGAUGGUUCAAAGUUUUUCGGCUGAGGUAUGGGCCCGCGGCCUAUCAGCUUGUUGGUGGGGUAAUGGCCUACCAAGGCGACGACGGGUA